AGAAUCCCUGGCCCAAACCCCAGCUGGAUUAGACACAAGUGUUUCCCCCUUCACACAAACCCGUGGCUUGUCUUGGAAAAAGAUGGAAAUAUCUCCCUGCAGCAACCUCUCCAAACCCGCAGAAACAAGUGGCUCGUGUUGAGAGCAACAUCCCUGUGUUUUCCCAGGAAGCUUUUCUGGGCAAAGGGACUGUGACAUUUUGCAGAAGUUCUGCAGUUUCUGGUGCCCAGGAUGGGAAGGGAUGGCAAAACUCGAGAGCUGUCCUUCAAGUGGCCUUGCCUGAGCAAAGUGAACAGCUUGAGUGCCUAUCAUUAGCAGGCAGAACACCUCUGCAGGAGGCACACGGCUUGAAACCCUGAGAAUUCUGCAUGAUUACAGCUAAGCAACUCCUCAAAAAUCAAGCAGAAAGUUUUCCUGAGGGAGUUUAUCUAGGGGAAAAAAAAAA
Cyanistes caeruleus (blue tit) is the source of this 445-nucleotide non-coding RNA. The record is from RefSeq and is a predicted model, not a curated record. Lineage: Eukaryota; Metazoa; Chordata; Aves; Passeriformes; Paridae.